AUGGCUGAAGCUUUGGCGUUAAAAUUUGGCCUAUCGCUUGCGCAAAGGACGGCUUGUAAUCGCAUAAUUAUUAACUCGGAUAAUAUGGAGGUGAUCGAGACCAUGAACGAAGGAGGACGAUCGUCGGGGGCAGCAGCUGCAAUUUUUUAUGACUGUUUUCACUUAGCUUGUGAUUUUCCUAUUUCUAGAUUCGAGCAUUGUAAUAGAGAAGCAAAUAAAGUUGCUCAUGAACUUGCCAAGUUGGCUGGAUUUUCUUUCAUUUCUGAUUGGUUUGAGGAACCACAUAAUGCAAUUGUACCAAUCCUCAUAAACGAUGUAAUGAUUAUUUCAAAUGAAUAA
RNAcentral lists this ribosomal RNA (339 nucleotides) under Triticum aestivum (bread wheat). RNAcentral describes it as "partial small subunit ribosomal RNA". The record is from RNAcentral. Lineage: Eukaryota; Viridiplantae; Streptophyta; Magnoliopsida; Poales; Poaceae.